RNAcentral lists this long non-coding RNA (636 nucleotides) under Homo sapiens (human). Its description in RNAcentral is "non-protein coding lnc-ZCCHC9-4:1". The record is from RNAcentral. Lineage: Eukaryota; Metazoa; Chordata; Mammalia; Primates; Hominidae.
UCUCAAACUGGGCUCAACCCAUCUCAGGUGAUCUGCCCACCUCACCCUCCCAAAGUGUUGGGAUUACAUUCAUGAGCCACCACGCCUGGCCAAGAGUCUUAAUAUUAAGUUAGCCUCUUAUUGUUUUGUGGAUGUUGACAAAAGACACAAGACUUUUGGUUCAGAGAUGAAGGACUAUAUUACUCAUGACACAGCAAGCAGCAUAAGUAUCAGCAUAUUUGUGUUGCUUUCCUUUCCCUCCAAGUCCCACAGAGGUGACAAGAAGGGCCUAGUGAAUGCUGCAGACAUAUUGGGCUUGUGUCACAGCUGAGGAACCAAAGGCCGAUAACUUUUUGAGCAAGUAGCGAGCACUGUAGCAGGCAGCAAACAAGCCAGGCCUCCUCUGCCCAGAGAGUGAGCAGUUACACUGAAUCAUGCUGUGGUCACCUUGACCUAUUUAGUUGUCUAUGGGACUAGCUACAGAAAUUGCUCAGAAUUGGUAGACAGAUUAGUCCUGUAGCCUGGCACACUCAGCAAGAAUGUGCAAGACCACCCAGGGCUCAUGGUGAGCUGUCUGUCCCCAUAGUUUUAAUACUUUGGAAAGGGGAAAUAAAUUAUGAGCAAACUUAAUAGUUCUUAUUUUAAUAAUUUACUCUA